Molecule: ribosomal RNA, 253 nt
Filed under: uncultured bacterium
Lineage: Bacteria
Description: partial 16S ribosomal RNA
Rfam family: Bacterial small subunit ribosomal RNA
Source: RNAcentral
UACAGAGGGUGCAAGCGUUGUUCGGAAUUACUGGGCGUAAAGGGCGCGUAGGCGGUCCGCUAAGUUAGAUGUGAAAACUCUGGGCUCAACCCAGAGCCUGCAUCUAAUACUGACGGGCUAGAGUUCUGGAGAGGGUAGCGGAAUUCCUGGUGUAGCGGUGAAAUGCGUAGAUAUCAGGAGGAACACCGGUGGCGAAGGCGGCUACCUGGACAGAAACUGACGCUGAGGCGCGAAAGCUAGGGGAGCAAACAGG